This 213-nucleotide ribosomal RNA is filed under the name uncultured bacterium. RNAcentral describes it as "partial 16S ribosomal RNA". It matches the Rfam family "Bacterial small subunit ribosomal RNA", at positions 28 to 243 of the family's 1533-position model. The record is from RNAcentral.
GACGAACGCUGGCGGCGUGCUUAACACAUGCAAGUCGAGCGGUAAGGCCCUUUCGGGGGUACACGAGCGGCGAACGGGUGAGUAACACGUGGGUGACCUGCCCUCAGCUCUGGGAUAAGCCUGGGAAACCGGGUCUAAUACCGGAUAUGACUCCAUGACGCAUGUUGUGGGGUGAAAGCCUUGUGCGGCUGAGGAUGGGCCCGCGGCCUAUCA